AGAAGUUGAAAUUUGUACCGAAUUGGUAGUAAAAUCAGAACGGGGAAAUGAAAGGAAGAAUAAAAGAGACCAAAACGAGCCGCUAUCAUUAAUGCGAGUUCAUGCUCUACUGUGUUUUGGCGAUUUUGCCAAGAGCAAACAAGUUUAACCUAAGCAAGAGAAAAGAUGAUGAAAUUCUAGCAAAAAACGACUGAAUUCAAGGGUAAAACGGUAAGCAAAAGGAAAGCGG
Molecule: long non-coding RNA, 229 nt
Filed under: Capsicum annuum
Lineage: Eukaryota; Viridiplantae; Streptophyta; Magnoliopsida; Solanales; Solanaceae
Description: long non-coding RNA (CANN_LNC018575)
Source: RNAcentral